GACGAACGCUGGCGGCGUGCCUAAUACAUGCAAGUUGAGCGCUGAAGGUUGGUACUUGUACCAACUGGAUGAGCAGCGAACGGGUGAGUAACGCGUGGGGAAUCUGCCUUUGAGCGGGGGACAACAUUUGGAAACGAAUGCUAAUACCGCAUAAAAACUUUAAACACAAGUUUUAAGUUUGAAAGAUGCAAUUGCAUCACUCAAAGAUGAUCCCGCGUUGUAUUAGCUAGUUGGUGAGGUAAAGGCUCACCAAGGCGAUGAUACAUAGCCGACCUGAGAGGGUGAGCGGCCAAAUUGGGACGGAGACACGGCCCAAACCCCUACGGGAGGCAGCAGUAGGGAAUCUUCGGCAAUGGACGAAAGUCUGAACGAGCAACGCCGCGUGAGUGAAGAAGGUUGUCGGAUCGUAAAACUCUGUUGGUAGAGAAGAACGUUGGUGAGAGUGGAAAGCUCAUCAAGUGACGGUAACUACCCAGAAAGGGACGGCUAACUACGUG
This 497-nucleotide ribosomal RNA is filed under the name uncultured bacterium. RNAcentral's name for it is "partial 16S ribosomal RNA". It matches the Rfam family "Bacterial small subunit ribosomal RNA", at positions 28 to 507 of the family's 1533-position model. The record is from RNAcentral.